CUGAAGGACUUCAGGAUAAGCACCCAUCUCUGUCCAGAGAGCUGGGACUGAGUUGCAAGUGUACUUGGUUUGGUUUGUGAUAUGUACCGGUGGUCUCUCUAUGAACUAUGAAAGGGCUAGGUCUUUAGAUGGGACAAACUAUUAAAUAUGUCUAUUAUAUUAUACGUAUCCUUAGAAAGCUUAUUUUACAUGAGAAAAGAAGGCAAAAGAUAGCAGGGAAACUACUAGGUAACAGAUAAUAACAUCCUAUGAGAUACAGAUAUGAAGGUAUACUUCAGAGAAAUACUCGACUUUGCUAUGAGACUUGCAACCAGCAAUAAGGAAAUGCUGUGAAUUUCAGCUGAAAGUGCCCCUGGGAGACUACAAGUAAGAUGAAGGAACUAAACCAAGAGAAGUGAGAUCAACUGAUUUAAGUUUUCAGAAGUAUUCUGUGGUAGACUCAAGUAUUCACCAAUAUGCAUUUGACUCCAAAGCCCAGUCACUAUAUCUACUAUUUUGGUAAUUUAUGAAAGAAAAGGAAUUUGAAGCCAACAUUAAAAAUAUAAAUGCCUCCUGAGAUAAUGUAACUCAUUAAGCCACCAUUAACCAUCAAUGCUUUGUGCACAAGCAAGCUUUCCAGUUUAAUCAGAGGAUUUUCCCAAGCCUAUUGUCCUACCAGAGUAAUGUUGUACCAGCUAUUCUCUAUGACCCUUGAAAAAUACAUCUUUGGAGAAGAAGAUGGGGAGUGGAAGAAGAGAAACAAUGUGAAACCAAUAAUUUCCCCCCAUCUCACUGACAGACUUGAUGCCUGAUCUAUCUUUCAGCUGAGAAAGCCUUGGCACUGGAAUUAGAUUUCCCAGGGAAUCAAAUGUCUAAUUCUCUCUCUGGAAGUAAAGUCCCAAAGUGCAGGAGGGAAGCCUAAGAAACUAAAGUCACUUAGGUUUGCUCCCCUUGGCAGUAGUGCAAGACAACAGCAGUCUAUGGGGAGAAUUAGAAAUUCAUUCAGACCCAUGACUUUACAUUCCAUUGUGUUUUUUCUCUUGGAGAGAAAGUUUGGAAUGCAUAGCAACUCUGUGAUCCAAAGCAGCUUGCUUGCUCCAUAAUGUGAUACAAAACGGUAAUAGUCAGGAGUCUUGAGAAAUGAGUCAGAAGAAGAUAUUGCUCUUUUGGUUUUGAGUUAUGGAAGCUCCGCUGACAUCCACUGCGCACAAAGCUGUCUCUGUCCCAGAUAGAGGUCAGGUAAAUAAAGUUGGGGGAGGACACAGAACAUGGCCUUGGUACUAAUCUGAUCAAUUAGUUUGGUAAAGGGUGCCGUCUGACUACAGAGCUGUCCAGCAGGAAAUGUGUAAGAGCCCCACAGUGAAAACAAUUUCUGUUAAUCACCUGCUUUCAUCAUGCAGAUACCUUGAGGCAGCCGUGCUGGCAUCAGAAGGGCCUGUCACUGGCUAAACUGCUGCCUAACAUCCUUCCCGGGAGAAAUCUGGGCUUCAGAUUUACCUAAAGUAGGAAAUAUCAUUAACUGCUCUGUUCUCUUAUUAAUUCAGUGUAAGCUUGAGAACCAUGGUUUUUCUGAUAUUUCCUUUGUUGUCAUUCAGUCUUUGGCUACUCAACACGUGUAUCUAUCAGGCUCUUGCUCUAAAAAUGACCAUGUUUGAAAAUACAGAAAAAGAAUGAUGUGACCUUGAGUGUGGGCCACAUUCCUAUUCAUUACUUGCUUGAAAUGAAAAAAAUAAAUGCAAACAAGAAUUACUCUUCAUAAACUUGGUUUAAUUCUUGCGAGCAAGUUUGUGAGUCAUUUUAUGAAUGGCUCCCGCUUCAAAUUAGGGCUCCUGUUUCCGCUUCCAAUGAGCCUCUAGUAUUACAUCUAAUAUUGUUUCCUCUCAGCAAUUGAAAUGUACAUCCCUGCUGGGUUGGUAAGAAUAGAAUUUCUUUCCGGAAUUCUUUCUUCUUUCUGAAUUGCUUCA
Molecule: non-coding RNA, 1943 nt
Organism: Microcebus murinus (gray mouse lemur)
Lineage: Eukaryota; Metazoa; Chordata; Mammalia; Primates; Cheirogaleidae
Source: RefSeq, a predicted model, not a curated record